This 253-nucleotide ribosomal RNA is filed under the name uncultured bacterium. RNAcentral's name for it is "partial 16S ribosomal RNA". It matches the Rfam family "Bacterial small subunit ribosomal RNA", at positions 524 to 776 of the family's 1533-position model. The record is from RNAcentral.
UACGUAGGGGGCUAGCGUUGUCCGGAAUCAUUGGGCGUAAAGCGCGUGUAGGCGGUCCGGUAAGUCCGCUGUGAAAGUCGGGGGCUCAACCCUCGAAUGCCGGUGGAUACUGUCGGGCUAGAGUGCGGAAGAGGCGAGUGGAAUUCCUGGUGUAGCGGUGAAAUGCGCAGAUAUCAGGAGGAACACCAAUUGCGAAGGCAGCUCGCUGGGACGUUACUGACGCUGAGAAGCGAAAGCAUGGGGAGCGAACAGG